GGCCAGGGCGCCCCAAGCGAGGCCGCGGUCCGCGGACGGUCGCCAAUGGAGCGGGGCUGCAAGGGGGUGCCGAUGCUGCGAGAGAAAACCCGGGAACCUUGGAACGAGCUUAUGGUGAUUGGGAAAAGAGUGGAGCUCCUGAGUAGAAACACUCAAAAGCCGAAGCUGGAGUCUGAGUACUGGAGACUGGAAGAUGUGGAAAAGACGGUCUUGAAAGGGAAGUCAGGCCCAAGUCAGGAAAGGACGGAUGUGAAGCUGCUGCACCGUGGAGCAAGUGCAUCACAAGCUUCAGUAGAUUUGGGGAAAAACAGCCCAAGGGAGAUUUGGGGAAAGCAAGAGGUCAAACACGAAAUAAGGGCUAAAUCUAAGAGUGCAGGGAUGACAGCAGGGCCUAUGAAGGGGUCUGGGUUUGAAGAGAGGUUGAGGUCUGCUGGGGAGAAAGUAGGGACCACUGGAGAGGACUUGAGAUCCAGUGGAUAUAAACUGGGGCAGAAUGAGGAGUUGAGGUCGAGUGUAGACAAGAUGACAUCAAGUGUAGAGAAGCUGAGGUCUAGUAGUGAGAAGCUGGUGUCCAGGGGAGAGACGCAAGGGUCCAGUGGAGUGAAGCUGAGGUCCAGUGGCAGAAAGCUGAGAUCAAGUGGAGAGAAUCUGAGAUCAAGUGGAGAGAAUCUGAGAUCAAGUAGAGAGAAGCUAAGAUGGAGUGGAGAGAAGCUGAGAUCAAGUGGAGAGAAGCUGGGAAUCAGUGAUGAGAAGCUGAAGUUGAGUGGAGAGAUGCUGAGAUCAAAUGGAGAGAAGCUAAGAUCAAGCAGAGAGAAGCUGAGGUUGAGUGGAGAGAAGCUGGGGUCAAGUGCAGAGAAGCUGAGAUCUAGCGAGGAGAAGUUGGGGACCAGUGGGGAGAAAUUGGAGGUUUCAAGAAUGGGGAGCAUAAAUGAGGAGAACAUUGAAAAAGUGGUAGAAGUUACUGGUGAUGAAAGAGUGAUGGCAUUUACUCAUGAUGAGAUGGAAAUUCCUUUUGAAAGUGUCAAAGGGAGUAAGGAACUGCAGGGGACUGAGAAAGGAGUGGGAGUUGAUGGGGGCGUCUUGCGUGAAGCGAAAGAUAUCACUGAUGAAUCUGUUUCUAUGGAAAAGAAAGAUAUUAUAGGUGAAGGUACCCGUGAAUGAGGCAGAUGAAGGACUGACACCAAACAAGGAAAGAGGCAGACAAGGGAAGUACUGGAAGUCAGAGGAGAAAUUAGAGCCAGGCAAAACAUUAUUGACACGGAAGGGGUAAAGUUGAGAGAGGAAAGGAGAGAGUCUGAGCCUAAAAUAAAAGAGAGUGGAAGUGAGGAAGAAAAGCUACUGGGGCUGAAGGCGGAGGCCAGGAUCAAAGGAAGCAAAGAGGAGUGGCUGGUUCAGAGGAGGGUGGGAACAUAUGGAGAAGAAAGAGAAGACUUGGUAAUGUGUUGACAGAGGAAACUUGGGUAUUGGGAGAAAACCUGACUGGGAGCUCAUAGGGAAAUGUUUGAGAAAAGGAUGGAGGAUGGGCUAGAAGGAUUUUGUCUGACACAUGAUGGGGUGUAUGAGAUGGAGGAUAAUUGCAGCAGGAUAAAGGGUAGAUUUUGAGGGUUGUGGAAGAAGGUGCAGGCUGAAGUGUGCAAAAUUUCUGAAAGAGGAGCCUGAAGAAUGAAGGGGUCCCAAGUGACAAAAGCAGGAGAGGAGACAAGAAAGAAGUGAGAAAAAACAUAAGAAGCCACAUGCCAUAAUGGUGAUUGUGUUUGUUGAUCUCUGCCAUCCUGAGAUUAUCACUCCUCGCCUCCUCUGGAAACUCUCUGAGAGCCGGGAAAUCGUCUCUUUUUAUAAGAGGCCUGCACAGGCACAAGGUCAUACUUGGGCAGUUUUUGGCUUUGUGAAAAUCUCUCAGAUUGCACCGCACAGUAUACAAAUGAUAAACCAGACAACCACAUUCGUUCUUUGGAUUGCGUUUUCUCCUGAGAUAUCAGACGCAUUUCACCAGGGCCACAGAAAGAGAAAUGAAGACCAAGAUACCGAGACAAAUGCCAACAACCUGGUGACAGGGAAGAUGAUGCCAUCAGAUCUGUACUUCACAUAGAGAAGUCUGGCUCAGAGAUGGAGUCACCAGGCCAUGGUGUGCGGGCACUCAGUAAAGUGGAGAUACGAUUACUAGAUCAUUAUGGUUUGACUGCCCUUGUCUAGAAAGUGACAGUGACAGUAACAGUGCCAGCCUCUCAGGGUCGCUGGAAGAUUAAAUGAGAUGCCAUGUGCAGUAUGCCAGACAGAUGGCAGGUAGGUGCCCACCCAGGUGGAGACAAACAGGAACCCUACCCUCCUCUGCCUGUCAGUACUGGAUGGUGUGAGCGAGGUCCCCCAGCCACACCACAGCAGGAGACAGCAGGGUGCCCGCCCAGAACAGUGGGGGCAGUGCUUCCUGUUGCAGCCCCCACCCAGCCAGGCACAGGCCCAGUGUCCCUGUGGGACUCCAUCCAGGACUUGUUGAAAUGGCCGAUGAUACAAAGGAGCCCCGACUUCACCCAUGGCCAGCUUCCCUCGCCAUCCUCCCUGCGGCCAAAGGACUUGCCCUCACCUGUUCUUUCCAGGACAAAUCAUCUGCCAGGUUUCUGCCUCAGGACACCCAAGCUCAGCACAGACCGCCUAGCAGCCUGGGUGACAGGAUCCCGGGGGACAGGAUUCUCUCCUUGCCAGAGGGAUGAGGACAAAUUCUCCCUUCAUCCUUGAGAUUGGACUCCCGUCACAUAUCCUGGAGGAGCCUACAGAGAAGCCGGCAGGUCUCCCUCACCUGGACGGUGGCAGCCGGUGGCCCAGACCACCCAGAGGCCCUCCCCUGCACCUGAUGGGACAGACCCUGGGGCAUAAGUCUCCCCUGCCACUUCCACUGUGGUCACUAGAACUGUGGUGGAGAAAAUCGCUAGGACACAAAGAAGUCAAUGAUUUCAACAAACGGAAUUUCUUUGUCCUUUGUAAAAGUCAACACAUGAUCUGUUACUGAUUGGGAUGUGAAAUAAAACUAAAAAUAACAGCACACUGAGCCUGGCUCAGAGCUCAGCUCACCUUUA
RNA transcript from Rhinopithecus roxellana (golden snub-nosed monkey), 3071 nucleotides. RefSeq lists it as uncharacterized. The record is from RefSeq and is a predicted model, not a curated record. The transcript has 7 exons. Lineage: Eukaryota; Metazoa; Chordata; Mammalia; Primates; Cercopithecidae.